Molecule: ribosomal RNA, 2900 nt
Filed under: Klebsiella pneumoniae
Lineage: Bacteria; Pseudomonadati; Pseudomonadota; Gammaproteobacteria; Enterobacterales; Enterobacteriaceae
Description: 23S ribosomal RNA
Rfam family: Bacterial large subunit ribosomal RNA
Source: RNAcentral
UUAAGCGACUAAGCGUACACGGUGGAUGCCCUGGCAGUCAGAGGCGAUGAAGGACGUGCUAAUCUGCGAAAAGCGUCGGUAAGGUGAUAUGAACCGUUAUAACCGGCGAUGUCCGAAUGGGGAAACCCAGUGCAAUUCGUUGCACUAUCGUUAACUGAAUACAUAGGUUAACGAGGCGAACCGGGGGAACUGAAACAUCUAAGUACCCCGAGGAAAAGAAAUCAACCGAGAUUCCCCCAGUAGCGGCGAGCGAACGGGGAGCAGCCCAGAGUCUGAAUCAGCUUGUGUGUUAGUGGAACGGUCUGGAAAGUCCGACGGUACAGGGUGAUAGUCCCGUACACCAAAAUGCACAGGCUGUGAACUCGAAGAGUAGGGCGGGACACGUGGUAUCCUGUCUGAAUAUGGGGGGACCAUCCUCCAAGGCUAAAUACUCCUGACUGACCGAUAGUGAACCAGUACCGUGAGGGAAAGGCGAAAAGAACCCCGGCGAGGGGAGUGAAAAAGAACCUGAAACCGUGUACGUACAAGCAGUGGGAGCACCUUCGGGUGUGACUGCGUACCUUUUGUAUAAUGGGUCAGCGACUUAUAUUCUGUAGCAAGGUUAACCGUAUAGGGGAGCCGCAGGGAAACCGAGUCUUAACUGGGCGUUAAGUUGCAGGGUAUAGACCCGAAACCCGGUGAUCUAGCCAUGGGCAGGUUGAAGGUUGGGUAACACUAACUGGAGGACCGAACCGACUAAUGUUGAAAAAUUAGCGGAUGACUUGUGGCUGGGGGUGAAAGGCCAAUCAAACCGGGAGAUAGCUGGUUCUCCCCGAAAGCUAUUUAGGUAGCGCCUCGUGAAUUCAUCUUCGGGGGUAGAGCACUGUUUCGGCUAGGGGGUCAUCCCGACUUACCAACCCGAUGCAAACUACGAAUACCGAAGAAUGUUAUCACGGGAGACACACGGCGGGUGCUAACGUCCGUCGUGAAGAGGGAAACAACCCAGACCGCCAGCUAAGGUCCCAAAGUCAUGGUUAAGUGGGAAACGAUGUGGGAAGGCACAGACAGCCAGGAUGUUGGCUUAGAAGCAGCCAUCAUUUAAAGAAAGCGUAAUAGCUCACUGGUCGAGUCGGCCUGCGCGGAAGAUGUAACGGGGCUAAACCAUGCACCGAAGCUGCGGCAGCGACACUAUGUGUUGUUGGGUAGGGGAGCGUUCUGUAAGCCUGCGAAGGUGACCUGUGAGGGUUGCUGGAGGUAUCAGAAGUGCGAAUGCUGACAUAAGUAACGAUAAAGCGGGUGAAAAGCCCGCUCGCCGGAAGACCAAGGGUUCCUGUCCAACGUUAAUCGGGGCAGGGUGAGUCGACCCCUAAGGCGAGGCCGAAAGGCGUAGUCGAUGGGAAACAGGUUAAUAUUCCUGUACUUGGUGUUACUGCGAAGGGGGGACGGAGAAGGCUAUGUUAGCCGGGCGACGGUUGUCCCGGUUUAAGCAUGUAGGCUGGUUGUCCAGGCAAAUCCGGAUAAUCAAGGCUGAGGUGUGAUGACGAGGCACUACGGUGCUGAAGUAACAAAUGCCCUGCUUCCAGGAAAAGCCUCUAAGCAUCAGGUAACAUCAAAUCGUACCCCAAACCGACACAGGUGGUCAGGUAGAGAAUACCAAGGCGCUUGAGAGAACUCGGGUGAAGGAACUAGGCAAAAUGGUGCCGUAACUUCGGGAGAAGGCACGCUGGUGUGUAGGUGAAGCCCCUGCGGGUGGAGCUGAGACCAGUCGAAGAUACCAGCUGGCUGCAACUGUUUAUUAAAAACACAGCACUGUGCAAACACGAAAGUGGACGUAUACGGUGUGACGCCUGCCCGGUGCCGGAAGGUUAAUUGAUGGGGUUAUCCGUAAGGAGAAGCUCUUGAUCGAAGCCCCGGUAAACGGCGGCCGUAACUAUAACGGUCCUAAGGUAGCGAAAUUCCUUGUCGGGUAAGUUCCGACCUGCACGAAUGGCGUAAUGAUGGCCAGGCUGUCUCCACCCGAGACUCAGUGAAAUUGAACUCGCUGUGAAGAUGCAGUGUACCCGCGGCAAGACGGAAAGACCCCGUGAACCUUUACUAUAGCUUGACACUGAACAUUGAGCCUUGAUGUGUAGGAUAGGUGGGAGGCUUUGAAGCGUGGACGCCAGUCUGCGUGGAGCCAACCUUGAAAUACCACCCUUUAAUGUUUGAUGUUCUAACGUUGGCCCCUUACCGGGGUUGCGGACAGUGUCUGGUGGGUAGUUUGACUGGGGCGGUCUCCUCCCAAAGCGUAACGGAGGAGCACGAAGGUUAGCUAAUCCUGGUCGGACAUCAGGAGGUUAGUGCAAUGGCAUAAGCUAGCUUGACUGCGAGCGUGACGGCGCGAGCAGGUGCGAAAGCAGGUCAUAGUGAUCCGGUGGUUCUGAAUGGAAGGGCCAUCGCUCAACGGAUAAAAGGUACUCCGGGGAUAACAGGCUGAUACCGCCCAAGAGUUCAUAUCGACGGCGGUGUUUGGCACCUCGAUGUCGGCUCAUCACAUCCUGGGGCUGAAGUAGGUCCCAAGGGUAUGGCUGUUCGCCAUUUAAAGUGGUACGCGAGCUGGGUUUAGAACGUCGUGAGACAGUUCGGUCCCUAUCUGCCGUGGGCGCUGGAGAAUUGAGGGGGGCUGCUCCUAGUACGAGAGGACCGGAGUGGACGCAUCACUGGUGUUCGGGUUGUCAUGCCAAUGGCACUGCCCGGUAGCUAAAUGCGGAAGAGAUAAGUGCUGAAAGCAUCUAAGCACGAAACUUGCCCCGAGAUGAGUUCUCCCUGAGACUUUAAGUCUCCUGAAGGAACGUUAAAGACGAUGACGUUGAUAGGCCGGGUGUGUAAGCGCAGCGAUGCGUUGAGCUAACCGGUACUAAUGAACCGUGAGGCUUAACCUU